AUUGAACGCUGGCGGCAGGCCUAACACAUGCAAGUCGAGCGGAUGAAGGGAGCUUGCUCCUGGAUUCAGCGGCGGACGGGUGAGUAAUGCCUAGGAAUCUGCCUGGUAGUGGGGGAUAACGUCCGGAAACGGGCGCUAAUACCGCAUACGUCCUGAGGGAGAAAGUGGGGGAUCUUCGGACCUCACGCUAUCAGAUGAGCCUAGGUCGGAUUAGCUAGUUGGUGGGGUAAAGGCCUACCAAGGCGACGAUCCGUAACUGGUCUGAGAGGAUGAUCAGUCACACUGGAACUGAGACACGGUCCAGACUCCUACCGGAGGCAGCAGUGGGGAAUAUUGGACAAUGGGCGAAAGCCUGAUCCAGCCAUGCCGCGUGUGUGAAGAAGGUCUUCGGAUUGUAAAGCACUUUAAGUUGGGAGGAAGGGCAAUAAGUUAAUACCUUGCUGUUUUGACGUUACCAACAGAAUAAGCACCGGCUAACUUCGUG
This 484-nucleotide ribosomal RNA is filed under the name uncultured bacterium. Its description in RNAcentral is "partial 16S ribosomal RNA". It matches the Rfam family "Bacterial small subunit ribosomal RNA", at positions 30 to 507 of the family's 1533-position model. The record is from RNAcentral.